RNAcentral lists this long non-coding RNA (4443 nucleotides) under Nicotiana benthamiana. RNAcentral describes it as "long non-coding RNA (NBEN_LNC034689)". The record is from RNAcentral. Lineage: Eukaryota; Viridiplantae; Streptophyta; Magnoliopsida; Solanales; Solanaceae.
UUAAACAAUUGAUAUUUCACUUUAUCUUGAUUUUUUUUUUCAAUUUCUUUAUCCAUAUAUUUGUUAUUUAUGCUUAUAAUCAUUAGUCUUGGACUACAUGCACAUUGUUACUUUCAUGCCGUUUUUCAUUAAAGCUCACGUUUUAUUUGCGCUUUGCGCUUAAAGCCCCAACAAACCUUAGAGCUUUUUUGCACUUUUCGACUUUGAUAACACUGGGAAGUUCAGACUUAGAAGAACAAAUAACCAGUGACCUUAUGUUUGUUGCCAAUCAAAUCAACUACCGUCAAAGAUGACAGGUGACAUCCCCAGGUAAUAGCUAACAAGAGAUUUGAGGCGUUCAAUUGUUAAGCUGGAAUUAUAGAACAGGUGCUGAAGGCAUUUUUAAUGGAUAAAAAGAUUGACAUGUCAUUGGCUUUCUUAGAUUUUUUAAAGGGGAUAAUCUUCAUUUUGCUUCUUAAAUGCUUCUUGACAGCUAAUUAAAUUCUAGAUGUUGAGAACUUUUUACUAUUGGAAUUCCUUCGCCACUUGUUUAAUAGCCUUGAGACUUGUGAAAAAUAAUACAAAUAGAUUUGGUUUCUCCUCCUUUUAACCAUCCAAGAGUUAAACUAUAACAGCAUUCCGUUUGUAUCAGGUAAAGAAAGGGAAAGAAGAAAAGAGAUUUUGUAUGAGACGGGGCAUAGGAUUAUCAAGUUUCACUCAACCUGCUGUCUUGUUUCUCCAGCGCAAUAUAUAUCCAAUUGAAGAUGUUACAAUGGCACUUAGGUUUUGUUCAUAUUGCUUUAUCUCAUCGACAGCCUGCAGAAAUUGUACUCUUUUGGGGUUUUUAGUGUCUUCUUAAAUUGCAUAAAGUAGAUUUUUUGGUUAUAUUACCAGUAUUGUUUGAGACUGACGCGAUGUUUUUUGUUGAAUUUACCAGUUGAUCUGUGACUUCUUAGAAAGAUUGGUUCUCAUAUUGGCACUUGCCACUGAUUUGAUUUACAUGCUUUUCUCUUUUUUUUUUCUUGAGCCGAGGGUCUUUCGAAACAGCCUCUCUACUCCUUCGAUAUAGGGGUAAGGUCUGCGUAUACACUACCCUCCCCAGACCCCACUAGUGGGAUUUUACUUUAUUGUUGUUGUUGCUCCUAUGUUAAGGAGUUAAAGCAUAUAUGUAUAUUAAUUUUUCACCAAUGUUAUAAUAUUUUACCAGAGGUUUUUCCAGCAUUUUUGUUGCUUUCAAAAGCUUGCCCGCCCCAUCAUGUCCCAUACUCUUUAUACAAGGACAUAACAAAUCGUGCUCGCUUAUUUGUGAGUCUUCGUCGGAGUUGACAAAUAACAUUUCUAGUUUUAUUUUGAGUUUUAUGAAUCUUGUAACCAGCUUUUAUUGUGCAGAUUGUAGCUAUACAUACAACUACUUAAAGGAUUCUCAAGAGAAUUGCAAAGGAGCUAAGGAGCAGAAAAUCUCUAAUGAUCAAGGUUCAAUUUGAAUUCAACCACAAUCCUAUUUGACCAAAAGAUAUUGAAACCUUUUUGAUUAAAUCAACUAAUAAAGAUAAAGAGGUAAAUCUCAGCUAAGCAUAAUAAAAUCUAGAUUAAAAGAUGCUAGGGAUGAACAAGGUGAAUAAUGCUUGUUAAUAUUUCGAAACCAAACGGUUAAGCAUACAUAUAAUAACUUCGAAUGUAAAGAAAUAUUGUAAUGGAAGCUAUUGACCAAAGGUAAAAUGUGUGGAUCUCAGAAUUGUGAUAAAAGUUGUCCCCUCUUAUAUUCACUUCUCUUCCUCUAUUUAUAAGGGACAAUCCCCUCUUGAACCCUAAAAAGGUAUUACAUAAAGAAUAUUCAGAAAGCAUAUUCCAGCUGUCUCCUACUACGCCUACACUAUUGCAGACGUUGAGCGCUUGCUAACCGCUGUCGGUCGUCACCCUUUGCUGCGACGAAAGGACGCUGCACCGUAAGGGCUUCGCCUGUCACGGUACUCAUUAGUGGCCGUGGUCGUCCAAAUUUGGACCUAUACAGUUAGUCCCUCCGCUUGUUGAGGCUGUGACUUGGUGCGUCCUCGAUAAGCGGACAUCGCCCACAGCCGUGGAGAAAUUUUGCUUUUGAAUCGUAAUGGUUUGACCGACAACGAAAGGGUAGUGUGCUUCACGAUAUCCUGGGUGGUGUCUUUCGGGAAAUGACGUCACUUCGACGCGCGUCAUCAUUUGCGCGCGUUUCCAAGACGGAGACUGAUGGUUUAUCGCUUAGAUUUCGAUGCCAUUGGCAACCUUCCGCUUCGAUUCUGGCGCUACCCAACCCUAUAAAUAGGUGGAGGGUUUAUUUUUUCAAAAACUCUUGGCCAUUUCUUCUUUGGUUAUUCCUUCUCAUACCUUCAGCUUUUGCUAUAGCAAUUUCUUUGUUCUCUCUCUUCCAUUCACCGUCCUUAGGUUGUUCUGUUUUAUCAACAUAGCUUCCGCCAUAGAUAUGCCUAGAACACAGCGAUCUCGUGAGGGGAUUUAUGACGCCACCCCCCUAUCCAUGGCACUUCCUUCCAGUGGUGAGGACACAACGGUGGAGGAAGGGAAUAUCUUUCCCACCGUGGAUGAGUUACUGCCGAGGCACCCCGUCUCGAAGUGACUUUCUUAAAGAAACUCCUCCUACUCCUGCUUCGGUAGUAUCUGAAACUGAGUAGGCCCAUAUAGAUGCUCUCCGUACCAAAUACAACAUUCCCCCUCAUGUCGAGAUGGUUCCGGCAGGAAGGGACUUCGUGGAGGUCCAUAGACCGGGGUAUUGUGCCUUUUAUGAAUACCCCUUUGUGAUUGGUCAUUCCUUCCACCUUCUCCUGUUAGAAUUCUGUUGAUUCUAUCAGGUUUGCCCGGCACAACUUUCUUCGUACACGUACAAAAUACUUUUGGUGUUGACAAAAUACGCGGAAUUGGUGGGGUGUGAAGUUAAUAUUCACCAUCUCCUGCUCCUGUAUUCCCCUAGUUUUCAUAGGGGUACUAUGAAAGCUUGGACUUAUCCGACAAUAAGCUGAGUGGUGAAAUUCCUUCGGAUUUGGUUCAGUUAAACUUUCUAUCAGUCUUCUCAGUGGCAAACAACAAUUUAUCAGGACGUACACCGGAUAGGAAGGCUCAGUUUGCAACCUUUGAAGCGAGCAGCUACAAAGGCAAUCCUUUCCUUUGUGGAUUACUUCUCGAGGAAAAUUGCAGAAGGAGCAAUGCAAUAUCAGCUCCAAAUCCAGGAGAAAAUGAUCUGUUCAAAGGUUCGUUUUUGGAAAUUUUUAUUCCGUCAUACAUUGUGGCAUUCCUAGGAGUUGUUGCUUUUAUUUACUUCAACCCCAGUUACAGAUUACUUUUUCAGUUUGUUGAAGCAAAACUCUUAUCUUCCAUAUAGAUUUGCCUAGUUAUUUACUGUACUAGAUGAAAAAAGUAACUGAGUGUAUGAAAGAUUAUAGAAAGAAAAUUAGAGUAUACUACUUUUUAUGACAUAUAUUUGGCAAUUUAACAGUAUCUUCUAGGAGCUCUGUGUUUAUUUCUACCCAUGCAUGUGAGAAAAUAUUAUAUUUCAAUCUUCAUUAUACUGAUAAUUUAAAGGUGAGCUUUUUUUUAUCCUGCUUUUAUUGUUUACAAGAACCUAACCAAAAUUGUCUCUUGUAAUUUUUGUUUUUGUUUUGGAAGAACUAGUGUUGUCAAGGGCGCGCUUAAAGCGUGCUUAAGCCCUGAAGCGAAGCUCAAUCGUUGAGCGCUUCGCCUCGCUUAGUGGGCGCUUUAGUGUCGCAUCAAAGCUCUAAGGCAUACUUUUCCUUGCCAAUGAGUGUAAUCUUGAAAAGGCGACCUUAAACAAUUAAUAUUUCACUUUAUCGUGAAUUUUAUUUUCCAUUUUUUGUUCAUAUAAUGGUUGUUUAUGCUUAUAUGAUUAGUCUUGGACUACAUGCGCUUUAUGAAUUUUUUUUCAAUUCCUUUGGCCAUAUAUUUGUUAUUCAUGCUUAUAAUGAUUAGUCUUAGACUACAUGCAUAUUUUACGUUUGCGCCUUUUUCAUUAAAGCCCACACUUUAUUUGCGCUUUGCGCUUAAAGCCCAACAUACCUUAGAGUUUUUUUUUGCGCUUUUCGCCUUUGAUAACACCGGGAAGAUCAGACUUAGAAGAACAAAUAACCAGUGACCUUAUGUUUGUUGCCAGUCAAAUCAACUACUGUCAAAGAAUACUUUUACUCAGAUGACAGGUGACAUCCCCAGGUAAGAGCUAUAACAAGAGAUUUGAGGUGUUCAAUUGUUAAGCUGGAAUUAUAGAACAGGUGCUGAAGGCAUUUUUAAUGGAGAAAAAGAGUGACAUGUAAUUGGCUUUAUUAGAUUUUUUAAAGGGGAUAAUCUUCAUCUUGCUUCUUGACAGUUGACUAAAUUCUAGAUGUUGAGAACUUUUUACUAUUGGAAUCCCUUCACCACUCGUUUAAUAGCCUUGUGACUUGUGAAAAAUAAUACAAAUAGAUUUUU